GUUUAUGUAGCUUAAUUAAAGUAUAGCACUGAAAAUGCUAAGAUAGAUUUUUAAAUAUCUCAAAAACA
This 68-nucleotide transfer RNA is filed under the name Batrachuperus londongensis (Longdong stream salamander). RNAcentral describes it as "tRNA-Phe". It matches the Rfam family "tRNA". Rfam says of the family: Transfer RNA (tRNA) molecules are approximately 80 nucleotides in length. Their secondary structure includes four short double-helical elements and three loops (D, anti-codon, and T loops). The record is from RNAcentral. Lineage: Eukaryota; Metazoa; Chordata; Amphibia; Caudata; Hynobiidae.